CAAGAAGCUGGGAGGGAGCAUGGCCAGGAAGGCUGACUGCAACUGGCCAGAGGGUGGAACAGAGAAGAGGCCCUGAGCAGGCAUGUGCUUCAGCUGCUGCCAGGGCACCCCGCUGCCCAGCAGCACAUCCCGGGCCCACUGCAGGUUCUGUGGACAACAACAGCCAGGUCAGAUGGAGGCAGGGGAUGCAAAAGCCACCACAGGGUUCAAAAGUGGCAUUUGAGUUGCAUUUGACCAGCUUUUGUACAGAAAACUUCACAAGAGAGGACAUGAAAGAAAGAGGAAGAUGUUUUGUGCAUAGAGACAAAUAAGAAUGUUGCACUC
This is a long non-coding RNA of Pyrgilauda ruficollis (rufous-necked snowfinch), 324 nucleotides long. RefSeq lists it as uncharacterized. Lineage: Eukaryota; Metazoa; Chordata; Aves; Passeriformes; Passeridae. The record is from RefSeq and is a predicted model, not a curated record. The transcript has 3 exons.